UACGAAGGGUCCAAGCGUUAUCCGGAUUCAUUGGGCGUAAAGGGUGCGUAGGUGGCGCGCUAAGUCAGGUGUGAAAUUUCGGAGCUUAACUCCGAAACUGCAUUUGAUACUGGCGUGCUUGAGGACUGGAGAGGAGACUGGAAUUCAUGGUGUAGCAGUGAAAUGCGUAGAGAUCAUGAGGAAGACCAGUGGCGAAGGCGGGUCUCUGGACAGUUCCUGACACUGAGGCACGAAGGCCAGGGGAGCAAACGGG
Molecule: ribosomal RNA, 253 nt
Filed under: uncultured bacterium
Lineage: Bacteria
Description: partial 16S ribosomal RNA
Rfam family: Bacterial small subunit ribosomal RNA
Source: RNAcentral